This 27-nucleotide unclassified non-coding RNA is filed under the name Mus musculus (house mouse). RNAcentral's name for it is "oocyte_clustered_small_RNA10759". Lineage: Eukaryota; Metazoa; Chordata; Mammalia; Rodentia; Muridae. The record is from RNAcentral.
AUGGUGCCGGGGCAAUGACCUCAGUGA